Molecule: ribosomal RNA, 400 nt
Filed under: Holosticha sp.
Lineage: Eukaryota; Ciliophora; Spirotrichea; Urostylida; Holostichidae
Description: partial small subunit ribosomal RNA
Rfam family: Eukaryotic small subunit ribosomal RNA
Source: RNAcentral
AUUCCAGCUCCAAUAGCGUAUAUUAAAGUUGUUGCAGUUAAAAAGCUUGUAGUUGGAUUUCUGUGAGAGUGCCGGUGUCGGCUGAUGCUUGUACGCAGGCGCUCUUACAUCCUUCUGUUAACUGUUCUUGGCAUUUUAUUGCUGGUUCAGGGCUCAGAUAUUUUACCUUGAGAAAAUUAGAGUGUUUCAGGCAGGCUUAUGCCGGAAUACAUUAGCAUGGAAUAAUGGAACAGGACCUGUGCGUCUCUCGGGGCGCCGGUCUCCGUUGUCGGUUUCGGGGACUAAUGUAAUGAUUAAUAGGGAUAGUUGGGGGCAUUAGUAUUUAAUAGUCAGAGGUGAAAUUCUCGGAUUUGUUAAAGACUAACUUAUGCGAAAGCAUUUGCCAAGGAUGUUUUCAUUG